CUGGCUCAGGACGAACGCUGGCGGCGUGCUUAACACAUGCAAGUCGAACGAUGAAGCCGCUUCGGUGGUGGAUUAGUGGCGAACGGGUGAGUAACACGUGGGUAAUCUGCCCUGCACUCUGGGAUAAGCCUUGGAAACGAGGUCUAAUACCGGAUAUGACACACGGAGGCAUCUCCUGUGUGUGGAAAGUUCCGGCGGUGCAGGAUGAACCCGCGGCCUAUCAGCUUGUUGGUGGGGUAGUGGCCUACCAAGGCGACGACGGGUAGCCGGCCUGAGAGGGUGACCGGCCACACUGGGACUGAGACACGGCCCAGACUCCUACGGGAGGCAGCAGUGGGGAAUCUUGCGCAAUGGGCGAAAGCCUGACGCAGCAACGCCGCGUGGGGGAUGACGGCCUUCGGGUUGUAAACCUCUUUCGACAGGGACGAAGCUUUCGGGUGACGGUACCUGUAGAAGAAGCACCGGCUAACUACGUGCCAGCAGCCGCGGUAAU
This 493-nucleotide ribosomal RNA is filed under the name Saccharopolyspora endophytica. RNAcentral describes it as "bacterial SSU rRNA". It matches the Rfam family "Bacterial small subunit ribosomal RNA", at positions 19 to 524 of the family's 1533-position model. The record is from RNAcentral. Lineage: Bacteria; Bacillati; Actinomycetota; Actinomycetes; Pseudonocardiales; Pseudonocardiaceae.